UGGGGAAUAUUGGACAAUGGGGGGAACCCUGAUCCAGCCAUGCCGCGUGUGUGAAGAUGGCCUUAUGGUUGUAAAGCACUUUAAGCGAGGAGGAGGGUACUGGUAUUAAUACUACCAGGUACUGGACGUUACUCGCAGAAUAAGCACCGGCUAACUCUGUGCCAGCAGCCGCGGUAAUACAGAGGGUGCGAGCGUUAAUCGGAUUUACUGGGCGUAAAGCGUGCGUAGGCGGCUAAUUGAGUCGGAUGUGAAAUCCCCGAGCUUAACUUGGGAAUUGCAUUCGAUACUGGUUAGCUAGAGUGUGGGAGAGGAUGGUAGAAUUCCAGGUGUAGCGGUGAAAUGCGUAGAGAUCUGGAGGAAUACCGAUGGCGAAGGCAGCCAUCUGGCCUAACACUGACGCUGAGGUACGAAAGCAUGGGGAGCAAACAGG
This 430-nucleotide ribosomal RNA is filed under the name Pseudomonadota bacterium. Its description in RNAcentral is "Proteobacteria bacterium partial 16S ribosomal RNA". It matches the Rfam family "Bacterial small subunit ribosomal RNA", at positions 355 to 776 of the family's 1533-position model. The record is from RNAcentral. Lineage: Bacteria; Pseudomonadati; Pseudomonadota.